UUCAACAGAUUUAAUUUAUUUUUGUUUAAGGCAUGACAUCAGCACUUAGUCGUAUUUUCAAAAUGACUACUUAUUAAUAUUUUUUAUUUAAUUUAUUAAUUAUUUGGUUUUAUUAUAGUUGUUUUGAUUUUUAUAAUGAUGAUAUUACUCAUAACAUAAUAUGUUGUAAGAAAUACAAAAUAUUGAAAUAGUUUUGCCGUAGGACGGACGACACGCGUCAAGCAUUUGUACUUUGUUGAACCAAAAGUGCUCAUAAAAAGGCGAUGCUACAUAUAGUUACAAUUGACAUUUGCUCACCGUUCUAUAUACACAUGGACUUAACAGAAACAGAUUUGUGGAUAUUAUUAUUUGACAUUGAGAAAUUAAUCGGUACAUGAUGAUAAUGAUGUGUAAAAAGAGGAAAAUAAUAAAACAUUUUGUUUUUGUUCUGCACGAUAACAUACAACAAAGGCUAUACAAAUGAAAAUAAUCGAUAUUCGUCCCGGCAGUUAAACGUUUUCAAUUGAAACGAGUAACAGCUUAUUUUUUUGGACAACAUAUUCUUACAACAUUUUUAUUUAUUUAAACCUGUACAGUUGUAUAAGCAUUUAUUUAUAAAUAAUAUAACUGUUUGCUGGAGGAGAAAUGAACCUGCCCUUACUCACUUAAUGAUAUCCUUGUUUUUAUGUUAACUAAAAUAAAAAAAGCCAAAAAGUCUUUUAAGAAAAAACCCAUUUUAUAUGAAUUGUGUAAAAUAUUUUGUAAUUUCACUUGCACUGUUUAUAAUUUUCUGAAUAAUAAAAUCGGUAUAUA
This is a long non-coding RNA of Lucilia cuprina (Australian sheep blowfly), 792 nucleotides long. RefSeq lists it as uncharacterized. The transcript has 3 exons. The record is from RefSeq and is a predicted model, not a curated record. Lineage: Eukaryota; Metazoa; Arthropoda; Insecta; Diptera; Calliphoridae.